This 695-nucleotide ribosomal RNA is filed under the name uncultured bacterium. RNAcentral's name for it is "bacterial SSU rRNA". It matches the Rfam family "Bacterial small subunit ribosomal RNA", at positions 44 to 715 of the family's 1533-position model. The record is from RNAcentral.
AUGCUUAACACAUGCAAGUCGAACGGUAACAGAUAAGAUGAUCUCUUCGGAGUGAAUCUUUGCUGACGAGUGGCGGACGGGUGAGUAAUGCUUGGGAAUCUGCCCAAUAGUGGGGGAAAACUCGGGGAAACCCGGGCUAAUACCGCAUAAUCUCUACGGAGGAAAGAGGGCCUCUACAUGUAAGCUCUCGCUAAUGGAUGAGCCCAAGUCAGAUUAGCUUGUUGGUAAGGUAAUGGCUUACCAAGGCUACGAUCUGUAGCUGGUCUGAGAGGAUGAUCAGCCACACUGGGACUGAGACACGGCCCAGACUCCUACGGGAGGCAGCAGUGGGGAAUAUUGCACAAUGGGCACAAGCCUGAUGCAGCAAUGCCGCGUGUGUGAAGAAGGCUCUAGGGUUGUAAAGCACUUUCAAUAGAGAAGAAAAGCUUGAGGUUAAUACCUCCAAGCCUUGACGUAACCUAUACAAGAAGCACCGGCUAAUUCCGUGCCAGCAGCCGCGGUAAUACGGGAGGUGCGAGCGUUAAUCGGAAUUACUGGGCGUAAAGCGAGCGUAGGCUGUUAAUUAAGUCGAAUGUGAAAUCCCCGGGCUCAACCUGGGAACUGCAUUCGAAACUAUUUGACUAGAGUAUGGGAGAGGAAAGUAGAAUUUCCGGUGUAGCGGUGAAAUGCGUAGAUAUCUGAAGGAACACCAGUGG